Molecule: ribosomal RNA, 292 nt
Filed under: uncultured bacterium
Lineage: Bacteria
Description: partial 16S ribosomal RNA
Rfam family: Bacterial small subunit ribosomal RNA
Source: RNAcentral
GUGCCAGCAGCCGCGGUAAGACAGAGGCCUCGAGCGUUAGGCGGAAUCACUGGGCUUAAAGCGUGUGUAGGCGGGCCCGUAAGUGUCUUGUGAAAUCCCCCGGCUCAACCGGGGAACGGCUGGGCAUACUGCGGGUCUUGGGCCGACUAGGGGCAGCCGGAACAAGCGGUGGAGCGGUGAAAUGCGUAGAUAUCGCUUGGAACGCCGAAGGUGAAAACAGGCUGCUGGGGUCGCGCCGACGCUGAGACACGAAAGCCAGGGGAGCAAACGGGAUUAGAAACCCGUGUAGUCC